Molecule: ribosomal RNA, 468 nt
Filed under: uncultured bacterium
Lineage: Bacteria
Description: partial 16S ribosomal RNA
Rfam family: Bacterial small subunit ribosomal RNA
Source: RNAcentral
GACGAACGCUGGCGGCGUGCUUAACACAUGCAAGUCGAACGGAAAGGCCCUGCUUUUGUGGGGUGCUCGAUUGGCGAACGGGUGAGUAACACGUGAGUAACCUGCCCUUGACUUUGGGAUAACUUCAGGGAACUGGGGCUAAUACCGGAUAGGAUCUCCUGCUGCAUGGUGGGGGUUGGAAAGUUUCGGCUGUUGGGGAUGGACUCGCGGCUUAUCAGCUUGUUGGUGGGGUAGUGGCUUACCAAGGCUUUGACGGGUAGCCGGCCUGAGAGGGUGAACGGGCACAUGGGGACUGAGAUACGGCCCAGACUCCUACGGGAGGCAGCAGUGGGGAGUAUUGCACAAUAGGCGGAAGCCUGAGGCAGCAACGCCGCGUGCGGGAUGACGGCCUUCGGGUUGUAAACCGCUUUCGCAUGUGACGAAGCGUGAGUGACGGUAAUGGGUAAAGAAGCACCGGCUAACUACGUG